RNAcentral lists this long non-coding RNA (1386 nucleotides) under Homo sapiens (human). Its description in RNAcentral is "HSALNT0092804". Lineage: Eukaryota; Metazoa; Chordata; Mammalia; Primates; Hominidae. The record is from RNAcentral.
CAAAUAGGCUCUCCUGCAAUCUCAAACUUGCUUAUACUUUAACUCAUAUAUGGUUAGGUUUCAAACACGUGGGAGAGACAGAAGAACCCUAGGAAUUUAGAGAUGGAACUUGAUAAAGGCAUUUCUCAGAAGAAUUUCAGACAGCAGGAACUUGACUUCAAAGGUUGGUGUGACGUGGGCAGACACAGAGGGGGAAGCACAGCCCAAGUACGAGCGGACGGCAGGAUGGGUGGAGGCAGCAAUGCAAUGGAGUGAGGAGAGGAAGUGUGGGUGAGUCAGCAGAAGGAUGUGAUGAGGCGGAGAAUGGGGGCACUCGCGUGGGGACAGAGGAAAGGCAGGAAGACUAUGGAAAUGAUGUUAGACAAAAAGCAAAUUCAAGCAAUAUUCUUAUUUGAGUUCGAAAUGGGUCAUAAAGACAACUCACAACAUCAACAAUGCAUUUGGUCUGAGAACUGCUAAUGAAUGUACAGUGCAAUGGUGGUUCAAGAAGUUUUGCCAAGGAGAUGAGAGCCUUGAAGAUGAGGAGCGUAGUGGCUGGCCAUUGGAAAGUGACAACGACCAUUUGAGAGUAGUCAUUGAAGCUGAUCCUCUUACAAGUACAAGAGAAGUUGCCCAAGAACUCAGUGUCAAUCAUUCUAUAGUGUUCAGCAUUUGAAGCAAAUUGGAAAGGUGAAAAAGGUCAAUAAGUGGGUGCCUCAUGAGCUGACUGAAAAUACAAAAAUCAUCUUUUUGAAGUGUCAUCUUCCAUUGUUCUAUGCAACAACAACAAACUAUUUCUCGAUCAGAUUGUGAUAUGCAACGAAAAGUGGAUUUUAUAUGACAACUGGCAAUGACCAGCUCAGUGGCUGGCCUGAGAAGAAGUUCCAAAGCACUUCCCAAAGCCAAGCUUGCACCAAAAAAAGGUCAUGGCCACUGUUUGGUGGUCUGUUGCUGGUCUGAUCCACUACAGCUUUCUGAAUCUCACUGCAACUGUUACAUCUGAGAAGUAUGCUCAGCAAAUCAAUGAGAUGCACUGAAAACUGCAAUGCCUGCAGCUAGCACUGGUCAACAAAAAGGGCCCAAUUCUUUUCCACAACGCCUGACUGCACAUCACACAACCAGUGCAUCAGAAGUUGAAUGAAUUGGGCCAUGAAGUUUUGCCUCAACCGCCACAUUCAUCUGACCUCUGCCAACCAACUACUACUUCCUCAAGCAUCUCAACAACUUUUUGCAGGGAAAAUGCUUCCACAACCAGCAGGAUGCAGAAAAUGCUUUUCAAGAGUUCAUUGAAUCCUGAAGCACGGAUUUCUAUACUACAGUAAUGAAAAAAUGUAUUUCUCAUUGGCAAAAAUGUGUGGAUUGUAAUGGUUCCUAUUCUGAUUAAUAAAGAUGUGUUUAAGCCUCGUU